This 69-nucleotide transfer RNA is filed under the name Ictidomys tridecemlineatus (thirteen-lined ground squirrel). RNAcentral describes it as "Spermophilus tridecemlineatus (thirteen-lined ground squirrel) tRNA". It matches the Rfam family "tRNA". From Rfam's summary of the family: Transfer RNA (tRNA) molecules are approximately 80 nucleotides in length. Their secondary structure includes four short double-helical elements and three loops (D, anti-codon, and T loops). Lineage: Eukaryota; Metazoa; Chordata; Mammalia; Rodentia; Sciuridae. The record is from Rfam by way of RNAcentral.
GGGGAUGUGGCUCAAGCGGUAGUGCGCAUGCCUGGCAUGCAUGUGGCCCGGGUUCGAUCCUCAGCACCA